Molecule: non-coding RNA, 264 nt
Organism: Dermacentor andersoni
Lineage: Eukaryota; Metazoa; Arthropoda; Arachnida; Ixodida; Ixodidae
Source: RefSeq, a predicted model, not a curated record
GUCUGCACUGUCCCGCAUUAACGACGUGCAUUCACUCAGGACUUACCUUUUGGUCCGUGAAUUAGUUAUCUCCGCCAAAGUUGGCCGCCUUUUGGACAUAGCGCGCACCGUGGUUGUGCGACUUGGUUCAUGACUUGCACCAUUGUCCUUGCCAUCGCUCUGGUUGUCGUCGUCAAGACACCGCGAGCCGGAAGAUUUGGGCUGACUCGCAUUAUCGAUGUGCAUCCUCUGCGUACUUCCUUUUUGGUCCUGGAAUAAGUUAUC